GCUGGGCGUAGUGGCGUGUGCCUGUAAUCCCAGCUACUUGGGAGGCUGAGGCAGAAGAAUCGCUUGAGCCCAGGAGGCAGAGAUUGCAGUGAGCUGAGAUCAUGCCAUUGCACUUCAGCCUGGGCAACAGAGCAAUACUCCAUCUCAA
This 148-nucleotide non-coding RNA is filed under the name Pan troglodytes (chimpanzee). Lineage: Eukaryota; Metazoa; Chordata; Mammalia; Primates; Hominidae. The record is from Rfam by way of RNAcentral.